Molecule: ribosomal RNA, 451 nt
Filed under: uncultured bacterium
Lineage: Bacteria
Description: bacterial SSU rRNA
Rfam family: Bacterial small subunit ribosomal RNA
Source: RNAcentral
GUGGGGAAUAUUGGACAAUGGGGGGAACCCUGAUCCAGCCAUGCCGCGUGUGUGAAGAAGGCCUUUUGGUUGUAAAGCACUUUAAGCGAGGAGGAGGCUACCGAGAUUAAUACUCUUGGAUAGUGGACGUUACUCGCAGAAUAAGCACCGGCUAACUCUGUGCCAGCAGCCGCGGUAAUACAGAGGGUGCAAGCGUUAAUCGGAUUUACUGGGCGUAAAGCGCGCGUAGGUGGCCAAUUAAGUCAAAUGUGAAAUCCCCGAGCUUAACUUGGGAAUUGCAGUCGAUACUGGUUGGCUAGAGUAUGGGAGAGGAUGGUAGAAUUCCAGGUGUAGCGGUGAAAUGCGUAGAGAUCUGGAGGAAUACCGAUGGCGAAGGCAGCCAUCUGGCCUAAUACUGACACUGAGGUGCGAAAGCAUGGGGAGCAAACAGGAUUAGAAACCCCAGUAGUCC